UAUUUUCCAAGAAGUACUCGAUACGUUCUAGAAGAACUGGAGAAGAAAAAGACUAAGGAUUAUCACUCAGUUAUGCAGCUACCAGCUUACUGCAAAGCUGUCUGCAUCUUUGCCACCUGAGAUCAAAUUUCAUGUGUUUUAGCGUGCCAUACUUCGUCAAUGAAACAAACUGCAGUCACUUUGGAGAGGAAGAUGUUUCAAGCAAUACAAAGAACCAGCUGUCCAUGAUGAUGGAGAAACACUGGUGUAGUGCAGUCUAGUCUAAUUAGACAGAAAUAUCUGUCUUGGACUAAGUGGACAUCAUACUCUUGGCAUUUCUGUAAGUGAACAUCAAAAAGCUCAACCUCCAGCUGAUACCACGGUGGCUUGGAAGCAACUCCCUAGAAGUUCUUAUCAUCUUCAUGCCAGAUGCUGCACAGAAACUGAGCAGAUCCAUGGGACUUCAGUAGAAAACAGAGCAGGAACGUCUGGUAUGUUCUGUUAAAACAUGAUAGCUAAUAUCUCUUUCAAUACUCCUAAUGUACAGUUUAUAAUGUACUCCAUUGCUUCACCAUCUUUAGUCUAUUCCCUCAUAAGGUAGUAAACAUGCUAGAAUAAUUAGUAAGUAAGUAAGUGGGACAGUCUGCAGACAGGUAACAAACACUGAAAUAUACUUUUGUGAGGGAGGUUUUUCUUCAUCUGAAACUAGACAGAGAAAAAAAGGUGCUAAGAUUAGAGACAGGACAAGUUAAAUUCUGUCCCAGCUUUUCAGCAGGACUGAAAGUACCAUUACGUGCUGGAUGGCCAUUAAAUCUGCUGCUUGAUUGUUCCCUGGAUCCAUUGCUGCAUGUUCUUAAAACAUAAGCGUUACCCGUAUGCCUUAAGCUACAACAAGGUUACCAAGAGGCAGGGAAAUAAAGAGCUAGUACCAUUCUAUAUGUUUCUACCUUUCAUUUUGCCUUUUAGCUUCUGCCUUCCAAAUUCUUCAGAGUUUUCCUUUCUGUAGUCUGCACUUCCUGAGAAAGCACUAUCUGAAGCCCUGUGGCUAGGUCUAUACUUCAUAUAGCUGUGUAACACAGAGGGAGAACUGAGCAAGGUUGGGCUUUAGAAGCAAUUUAGGCUGGGUAAGGAGGGCGAGCUGUAAUUAAUCCUUCUUUGCUUAGUAAUUCAGAACUAAAGAAACAAUUUAGCCUAGUCCAAAACGGAAAAUUUUGUUAUGCUUGGUCACACGUAACAAAGUUACAUGGAACUGAAACUAAGGUAUUCUAAUAAU
Long non-coding RNA from Dromaius novaehollandiae (emu), 1252 nucleotides. RefSeq lists it as uncharacterized. NCBI's taxonomy places the organism in Eukaryota, Metazoa, Chordata, Aves, Casuariiformes, Dromaiidae. The record is from RefSeq and is a predicted model, not a curated record. The transcript has 3 exons.